AUGGCUCAGGACGAACGCUGGCGGCGUGCCUAAUACAUGCAAGUCGAACGGUCUUUCUAUGGAAGCUUGCUUCCACUGAGAAGAUAGUGGCGAACGGGUGAGUAACACGUGGGUAACCUGCCCAUAAGAGGGGGAUAACAUCCGGAAACGGGUGCUAAUACCGCAUAGUUUUCUUGAUCGCAUGAUUGGGAAAGGAAAGACGGCCUUUGUGCUGUCGCUUAUGGAUGGACCCGCGGCGUAUUAGUUAGUUGGUGAGGUAACGGCUCACCAAGACGAUGAUACGUAGCCGACCUGAGAGGGUGAUCGGCCACAUUGGGACUGAGACACGGCCCAAACUCCUACGGGAGGCAGCAGUAGGGAAUCUUCCGCAAUGGACGAAAGUCUGACGGAGCAACGCCGCGUGAGUGAAGAAAGGUUUUCGGAUCGUAAAACUCUGUUGUCAGAGAAGAACAAGUUGGAGAGUAACUGCUCCAGCCUUGACGGUAUCUGACCAGAAAGCCACGGCUAACUACGUGCCAGCCGCAGC
This 526-nucleotide ribosomal RNA is filed under the name uncultured bacterium. RNAcentral describes it as "bacterial SSU rRNA". It matches the Rfam family "Bacterial small subunit ribosomal RNA", at positions 19 to 518 of the family's 1533-position model. The record is from RNAcentral.